RNAcentral lists this unclassified non-coding RNA (400 nucleotides) under soil metagenome. Its description in RNAcentral is "partial contains 5.8S ribosomal RNA, internal transcribed spacer 2, and large subunit ribosomal RNA". The stretch from base 1 to 122 matches the Rfam family "5.8S ribosomal RNA", at positions 35 to 154 of the family's 154-position model. The record is from RNAcentral.
GAUGAAGAACGCAGCGAAAUGCGAUACUUGGUGUGAAUUGCAGAAUCCCGUGAACCAUCGAGUCUUUGAACGCAAGUUGCGCCUCAAGCCAUUAGGUUGAGGGCACGUCUGCCUGGGCGUCACAUAUCGUUGCCUGAUGCCAGUUUCCUCGUGAUGGGUGACUGUGCAGGGCGAAUGAUGGCUUCCCGUGAGCAUUGUUGCCUCAUGGUUGGUUGAAAAUUGAGUCCUUGGUAGGGAGCGCCGUGAUAGAUGGUGGUUGAGUGACGAACGAGACCCAAUCAUGUGAGACCCCUACCGAAUUUGGCCUUCAUGACCCACAUGCGUCUUUGGAACGCUCAUGACGAGACCUCAGGUCAGGCGGGGCUACCCGCUGAGUUUAAGCAUCUCAAUAAGCGGAGGA